Molecule: ribosomal RNA, 2234 nt
Filed under: Salmonella enterica
Lineage: Bacteria; Pseudomonadati; Pseudomonadota; Gammaproteobacteria; Enterobacterales; Enterobacteriaceae
Description: partial 23S ribosomal RNA
Source: RNAcentral
GGGCGUUAAGUUGCAGGGUAUAGACCCGAAACCCGGUGAUCUAGCCAUGGGCAGGUUGAAGGUUGGGUAACACUAACUGGAGGACCGAACCGACUAAUGUUGAAAAAUUAGCGGAUGACCUGUGGCUGGGGGUGAAAGGCCAAUCAAACCGGGAGAUAGCUGGUUCUCCCCGAAAGCUAUUUAGGUAGCGCCUCGUGAAUUCAUCUCCGGGGGUAGAGCACUGUUUCGGCUAGGGGGCCAUCCCGGCUUACCAACCCGAUGCAAACUGCGAAUACCGGAGAAUGUUAUCACGGGAGACACACGGCGGGUGCUAACGUCCGUCGUGAAGAGGGAAACAACCCAGACCGCCAGCUAAGGUCCCAAAGUCAUGGUUAAGUGGGAAACGAUGUGGGAAGGCCCAGACAGCCAGGAUGUUGGCUUAGAAGCAGCCAUCAUUUAAAGAAAGCGUAAUAGCUCACUGGUCGAGUCGGCCUGCGCGGAAGAUGUAACGGGGCUAAACCAUGCACCGAAGCUGCGGCAGCGAACGUAUCACUUAAAGCGAUUCAGCGGGUUACGAUUGACGGAGCGAAGCGACGUCAAAGCGUAUACAAAGUCGAGUCGGUUUAAGGAUACGUUCGUUGGGUAGGGGAGCGUUCUGUAAGCCUGUGAAGGUGKSYYGUGAGGSWUGCUGGAGGUAUCAGAAGUGCGAAUGCUGACAUAAGUAACGAUAAAGCGGGUGAAAAGCCCGCUCGCCGGAAGACCAAGGGUUCCUGUCCAACGUUAAUCGGGGCAGGGUGAGUCGACCCCUAAGGCGAGGCCGAAAGGCGUAGUCGAUGGGAAACGGGUUAAUAUUCCCGUACUUGGUGUUACUGCGAAGGGGGGACGGAGAAGGCUAUGUUGGCCGGGCGACGGUUGUCCCGGUUUAAGCGUGUAGGUGUGUGUUCCAGGUAAAUCCGGUUCACUUUAACACUGAGGCGUGACGACGAGGCACUACGGUGCUGAAGCAACAAAUGCCCUGCUUCCAGGAAAAGCCUCUAAGCAUCAGGUAACAUCAAAUCGUACCCCAAACCGACACAGGUGGUCAGGUAGAGAAUACCAAGGCGCUUGAGAGAACUCGGGUGAAGGAACUAGGCAAAAUGGUGCCGUAACUUCGGGAGAAGGCACGCUGACAYGUAGGUGAAGUGAUUUACUCAUGGAGCUGAAGUCAGUCGAAGAUACCAGCUGGCUGCAACUGUUUAUUAAAAACACAGCACUGUGCAAACACGAAAGUGGACGUAUACGGUGUGACGCCUGCCCGGUGCCGGAAGGUUAAUUGAUGGGGUCAGCGCAAGCGAAGCUCCUGAUCGAAGCCCCGGUAAACGGCGGCCGUAACUAUAACGGUCCUAAGGUAGCGAAAUUCCUUGUCGGGUAAGUUCCGACCUGCACGAAUGGCGUAAUGAUGGCCAGGCUGUCUCCACCCGAGACUCAGUGAAAUUGAACUCGCUGUGAAGAUGCAGUGUACCCGCGGCAAGACGGAAAGACCCCGUGAACCUUUACUAUAGCUUGACACUGAACAUUGAGCCUUGAUGUGUAGGAUAGGUGGGAGGCUUUGAAGUGUGGACGCCAGUCUGCAUGGAGCCGACCUUGAAAUACCACCCUUUAAUGUUUGAUGUUCUAACGUGGACCCGUAAUCCGGGUUGCGGACAGUGUCUGGUGGGUAGUUUGACUGGGGCGGUCUCCUCCUAAAGAGUAACGGAGGAGCACGAAGGUUGGCUAAUCCUGGUCGGACAUCAGGAGGUUAGUGCAAUGGCAUAAGCCAGCUUGACUGCGAGCGUGACGGCGCGAGCAGGUGCGAAAGCAGGUCAUAGUGAUCCGGUGGUUCUGAAUGGAAGGGCCAUCGCUCAACGGAUAAAAGGUACUCCGGGGAUAACAGGCUGAUACCGCCCAAGAGUUCAUAUCGACGGCGGUGUUUGGCACCUCGAUGUCGGCUCAUCACAUCCUGGGGCUGAAGUAGGUCCCAAGGGUAUGGCUGUUCGCCAUUUAAAGUGGUACGCGAGCUGGGUUUAGAACGUCGUGAGACAGUUCGGUCCCUAUCUGCCGUGGGCGCUGGAGAACUGAGGGGGGCUGCUCCUAGUACGAGAGGACCGGAGUGGACGCAUCACUGGUGUUCGGGUUGUCAUGCCAAUGGCACUGCCCGGUAGCUAAAUGCGGAAGAGAUAAGUGCUGAAAGCAUCUAAGCACGAAACUUGCCCCGAGAUGAGUUCUCCCUGAGACUU